RNAcentral lists this ribosomal RNA (253 nucleotides) under uncultured bacterium. RNAcentral describes it as "partial 16S ribosomal RNA". It matches the Rfam family "Bacterial small subunit ribosomal RNA", at positions 524 to 776 of the family's 1533-position model. The record is from RNAcentral.
UACGUAGGAGGCGAGCGUUAUCCGGAUUUAUUGGGCGUAAAGAGCGCGUAGGCGGCCUAUUAAGUCGGUUGUGAAAUCUCUCGGCUUAACUGAGAGGGGUCAACCGAAACUGGUGGGCUUGAGGACAGCAGAGGGAAGUGGAAUUCCCGGUGUAGUGGUGAAAUGCGUAGAUAUCGGGAGGAACACCAGUGGCGAAGGCGGCUUCCUGGGCUGUUCCUGACGCUGAGGCGCGAAAGCGUGGGUAGCAAACAGG